UGACCCUUUGUGUUGGUGUUUCCUUCAUUUGGGCAGUUACCUGUAGAUGUGGCCUAUGCAGGAAUCAAACUCAUAAUAGGGAUAUUGCUGCAAACAACUGGUGUACCUGGCAUUGGUGUGUACAUUGACCUAUUGGAGAACACACACACACACACACAAACACACUUCACUGUUGGAAGGCGUAUGAAAAUCAGGGUCAUGACUGACUCAACAAAAAUGUCUAAAGGUGAAAAAUUCGAAUGGUUCUCUCUGCCUCUCGCACUUAUCCUCCACUCUUCUCCUCCACUCUUAUCCUCCACUCUUCUCCUUUUCACUUCUUUCUUUCUUUUCUUCUUCUCUCAUUCUUUUUUUGUGCCUGUCUUUGAAGUGAGGAAGUUUGCAGAAAACCUCUCAGAAGAAAAGCAGCAAACGCCAAAGAUGAAGAGAAGGCUUUAUGGAUAGAGAAACAGAGAAUGGGGAGAAAGGAGAGCGAGGAGUUUAGACUUCUGCACUGUUUCCUCUCUCUUCAGUCUGUCUGUCGUUUUUUUUGAAGCGCAUUGUCUCUCUUCUCUUCUUCUCUCCCCUGUUUUUCUCAAGCUGGUCAUCUCCAGAAUGAAUAGAAGGCUUGUACUUACAGUCCUGGCCCUGAAUGUUGUAACCAAUGAAAUCAAGGUAUCCACCUCCCAACCUCUCACACCAUCCAACUCCACUCCUGCUACCUUCAUUCCCCCUGCUCCCACCACUUCCUGUGUGUGUAAAGUCUCCACUUCCUGUUCCUCUCCGACCCAGCCCGAGUCUCCGCCACCUGCGCUGGGUGUUAUCAAGGUCAAAUGGGAAGAAAAGUCCUGUAAGGGGGACGUACACCUGUCUCUCCUCUCGUCCCAUUCCUUGCCAGUUUGCUUUAACAGUCUUACCCAUCGUAGUCUUCAUCGCGCAGGGCUGUGUAAGAGGAAGGGCUGCGAGGGCUCCCCAACAUGGACUAAGAUCAAUCCUAAAGCUUUGGGUUACCAGAUCAGUACGAAUGGAAGUGUUGCCAACAACCCCUGUACAACACUGGGGAUCCAAUGCGAAGUCGUCUCAGAUCAGUUAGUGGGCUAUAAGGUGGUGACUGGUCUGCUGUGUGUUCUGGUGCUGGUGGUGCUGAUGGUGCGUUUCGGGCAGCCCUCCUUCAAGGCCCUCCGUAGGAGACGUGAGUACCAGACACCUGGGCCUGCAUCCACAAAGCUUGGCGGCGUAGGAGCGCUGAUCUAGGAUCCGUUCAUGUACUCGUCGUGUUCAUUACGAUCAAAAAGGCCAAUACUGAUCCCAGAUCAGCACUUCUACUCUGAGAUGCUGUGCGUUAACGGGGGCCCAGAUCUAAACACUGAACACAUGAGAGUACAUUUAGGAUGACAACAAAGCACUUCAAUUACUGCAAUAAAGUUCUUAAAGAAAAAAGUCCACAGUACUUGGACCGAUCCAAUAGCAGUUGAUCAAAUAAUGUGUCAUAAGGUCAUGGCAGAAAAGAAAAGGAUGUUGAUACCAGGAUCGGUGUGGCAUUUAUUUCAUUCAUAUUUUGUCAGUUAUGGAUCAAGUGUUUCUUUUGUCAUUGAGGCAUGUUAUCUUGGUGUGUGUUGGUAAUGUGGUGUGUGUUGGUCGGGUACUUGGUGUGUGUUGGUAAUGUGGUGUGUGUUGGUCGGGUACUUGGUGUGUGUUGGUAAUGUGGUGUGUGUUGGUAAUGUGGUGUGUGUUGGUCGGGUACUUGGUGUGUGUUGGUAAUGUGGUGUGUGUUGGUCGGGGUACUUGGUGUGUGUUGGUAAUGUGGUGUGUGUUGGUCUGGUACUUGGUGUGUGUUGGUCGGGUACUUGGUGUGUGUUGGUAAUGUGGUGUGUGUUGGUCUGGUACUUGGUGUGUGUUGGUCGGGUACUUGGUGUGUGUUGGUAAUGUGGUGUGUGUUGGUCGGGUACUUGGUGUGUGUUGGUAAUGUGGUGUGUGUUGGUCUGGUACUUGGUGUGUGUUGGUCGGGUACUUGGUGUGUGUUGGUAUGUGGUGUGUGUUGGUCGGGUACUUGGUGUGUGUUGGUAUGUGGUGUGUGUUGGUCGGGUACUUGGUGUGUGUUGGUAAUGUGUGUGUGUUGGUCGGGUACUUGGUGUGUGUUGGUAAUGUGGUGUGUGUUGGUCGGGUACUUGGUGUGUGUUGGUAAUGUGGUGUGGUGUUGGUCGGGUACUUGGUGUGUGUUGGUAAUGUGGUGUGUGUUGGUCGGGUACUUGGUGUGUGUUGGUAAUGUGGUGUGUGUUGGUCGGGGUACUUGGGUGUGUGUUGGUAAUGGUGUGUGUUGGUCGGGUACUUGGUGUGUGUUGGGUAAUGUGGUGUGUGUUGGUCGGGUACUUGGUGUGUGUUGGUAAUGUGGUGUGUGUUGGGUCUGGUACUUGGUGUGUGUUGGUCGGGUACUUGGUGUGUGUUGGUAAUGUGGUGUGUGUUGGUCGGGUACUUGGUGUGUGUUGGUAAUGUGGUGUGUGUUGGUCUGGUACUUGGUGUGUGUUGGUCGGGUACUUGGUGUGUGUUGGUAAUGUGGUGUGUGUUGGUCGGGUACUUGGUGUGUGUUGGUAAUGUGGUGUGUGUUGGUCGGGUACUUGGUGUGUGUUGGUAAUGUGGUGUGUGUUGGUAAUGUGGUGUGUGUUGGUCGGGUACUUGGUGUGUGUUGGUAAUGUGGUGUGUGUUGGUCGGGUACUUGGUGUGUGUUGGUAAUGUGGUGUGUGUUGGUCGGGUACUUGGUGUGUGUUGGUAAUGUGGUGUGUGUUGGUCGGGUACUCGGUGUGUGUUGGUAAUGUGGUGUGUGUUGGUCGGGUACUUGGUGUGUGUUGGGUAAUGUGGUGUGUGUUGGUCGGGUACUUGGUGUGUGUUGGUAAUGUGGUGUGUGUUGGUCAGGUACUUGUGUGUGUUGGUAAUGGUGUGUGUUGGUCGGGUACUUGGUGUGUGUUGGUAAUGUGGUGUGUGUUGGUCGGGUACUUGGUGUGUGUUGGUAAUGUGGUGUGUGUUGGUCGGGUACUUGGUGUGUGUUGGUAAUGUGGUGUGUGUUGGUCGGGUACUUGGUGUGUGUUGGUAAUGUGGUGUGUGUUGGUCGGGUACUUGGUGUGUGUUGGUAAUGUGGUGUGUGUUGGUCGGGUACUUGGUGUGUGUUGGUAAUGUGGUGUGUGUUGGUCGGGUACUUGGUGUGUGUUGGUAAUGUGGUGUGUGUUGGUCGGGUACUUGGUGUGUGUUGGUAAUGUGGUGUGUGUUGGUCGGGUACUUGGUGUGUGUUGGUAAUGUGGUGUGUGUUGGUCGGGUACUUGGUGUGUGUUGGUAAUGUGGUGUGUGUUGGUCGGGUACUUGGUGUGUGUUGGUAAUGUGGUGUGUGUUGGUCGGGUACUUGGUGUGGUGUUGGUAAUGG
This is a long non-coding RNA of Oncorhynchus kisutch (coho salmon), 3388 nucleotides long. NCBI's taxonomy places the organism in Eukaryota, Metazoa, Chordata, Actinopteri, Salmoniformes, Salmonidae. The record is from Ensembl.